Molecule: long non-coding RNA, 676 nt
Filed under: Elaeis guineensis (African oil palm)
Lineage: Eukaryota; Viridiplantae; Streptophyta; Magnoliopsida; Arecales; Arecaceae
Description: long non-coding RNA (EGUI_LNC033279)
Source: RNAcentral
UAAGGAAUUGAUCAAUGCAAAGUUGUGUUGUUUCAGUUAGACCCUGUUUGUUUCCUUGUAUCAAAAGGGAAUUCAUCAAUUCCCUUUUGAUUUCAUUUUAAAAUUCGAGAUGAAAUCAGAUGGAAAUUCUUAUCCUAAAAUAUUUAAAGAACAAAGGUUUCCCACAUACUUGUUGGAAGGGCCAUGGUCGCAAGGAAGGAAUGAUGCCGGUCUCAUAGUUGGAAAGAACACUUGUUGCCAGGUGCCAUUUGAGAAGGAUGCUUGCCAUCGAAGGCUGGUUGGGAAGGACGCUCCCGAUUGGAUAGAUGCCUUAUGGUGAGGUGGGUCUGUGGGAAAGAAAAUGGUAGCCACUCACUCGAAGAGAUGAACACUCUUGAUUCUCAAGCCUCAAAAUCUUUGAAGACUAGUCCAAACUCCAAGGGGCAAUAGGAUAAGAAAGGAUAUGCAUGCAGAUGCGGAUCGGCCUAGAUUCAAGACUCAGGAUAUAUAUAUGACUUGAAUUAUAUGGAUAUUCUGAUCUGAAUUUGAAAAAAAUGAGAGAGACCUAUCUGACUAUUUUUUUGGCUUAGUAUCUAGAUUCAUCUUCAAAUCCGAUUGGGCUCAAUAACAUAUAUCCAAAUCCAACCCAAAUUAGAUGCGGACAAGGAUAUAGUCGGAUUGUAUAUAUCCGAUCCAC